RNAcentral lists this ribosomal RNA (385 nucleotides) under uncultured soil bacterium. RNAcentral's name for it is "bacterial SSU rRNA". It matches the Rfam family "Bacterial small subunit ribosomal RNA", at positions 26 to 413 of the family's 1533-position model. The record is from RNAcentral.
AGAUUGAACGCUAGCGGGAUGCUUUACACAUGCAAGUCGAACGGCAGCGCGGACUUCGGUCUGGCGGCGAGUGGCGAACGGGUGAGUAAUAUAUCGGAACGUGCCCAGUAGCGGGGAAUAACUACGCGAAAGCGUGGCUAAUACCGCAUACGCCCUACGGGGGAAAGGGGGGAUUCUUCGGAACCUCUCACUAUUGGAGCGGCCGAUAUCAGAUUAGCUAGUUGGUGAGGUAAAGGCUCACCAAGGCGACGAUCUGUAGCUGGUUUGAGAGGAACGACCAGCCACACUGGGACUGAGACACGGCCCAGACUCCUACGGGAGGCAGCAGUGGGGAAUUUGGACAAGUGGGGAAACCUGAUCCAGCCAUCCCGCGUGUGCGAUGAAG